CGGGAGUAAUGUCUGGGAAACUGCCUGAUGAGGGGGAGUAACUACUGGAAACGGUAGCUAAUACCGCAUAACGUCGCAAGACCAAAGUGGGGGACCUUCGGGCCUCAUGCCAUCAGAUGUGCCCAGAUGGGAUUAGCUAGUAGGUGGGGUAACGGCUCACCUAGGCGACGAUCCCUAGCUGGUCUGAGAGGAUGACCAGCCACACUGGAACUGAGACACGGUCCAG
RNAcentral lists this ribosomal RNA (226 nucleotides) under uncultured bacterium. Its description in RNAcentral is "partial 16S ribosomal RNA". It matches the Rfam family "Bacterial small subunit ribosomal RNA", at positions 106 to 334 of the family's 1533-position model. The record is from RNAcentral.